Molecule: ribosomal RNA, 1333 nt
Filed under: Staphylococcus aureus T30033
Lineage: Bacteria; Bacillati; Bacillota; Bacilli; Caryophanales; Staphylococcaceae
Description: bacterial SSU rRNA
Rfam family: Bacterial small subunit ribosomal RNA
Source: RNAcentral
GGUCUUGCUGUCACUUAUAGAUGGAUCCGCGCUGCAUUAGCUAGUUGGUAAGGUAACGGCUUACCAAGGCAACGAUGCAUAGCCGACCUGAGAGGGUGAUCGGCCACACUGGAACUGAGACACGGUCCAGACUCCUACGGGAGGCAGCAGUAGGGAAUCUUCCGCAAUGGGCGAAAGCCUGACGGAGCAACGCCGCGUGAGUGAUGAAGGUCUUCGGAUCGUAAAACUCUGUUAUUAGGGAAGAACAUAUGUGUAAGUAACUGUGCACAUCUUGACGGUACCUAAUCAGAAAGCCACGGCUAACUACGUGCCAGCAGCCGCGGUAAUACGUAGGUGGCAAGCGUUAUCCGGAAUUAUUGGGCGUAAAGCGCGCGUAGGCGGUUUUUUAAGUCUGAUGUGAAAGCCCACGGCUCAACCGUGGAGGGUCAUUGGAAACUGGAAAACUUGAGUGCAGAAGAGGAAAGUGGAAUUCCAUGUGUAGCGGUGAAAUGCGCAGAGAUAUGGAGGAACACCAGUGGCGAAGGCGACUUUCUGGUCUGUAACUGACGCUGAUGUGCGAAAGCGUGGGGAUCAAACAGGAUUAGAUACCCUGGUAGUCCACGCCGUAAACGAUGAGUGCUAAGUGUUAGGGGGUUUCCGCCCCUUAGUGCUGCAGCUAACGCAUUAAGCACUCCGCCUGGGGAGUACGACCGCAAGGUUGAAACUCAAAGGAAUUGACGGGGACCCGCACAAGCGGUGGAGCAUGUGGUUUAAUUCGAAGCAACGCGAAGAACCUUACCAAAUCUUGACAUCCUUUGACAACUCUAGAGAUAGAGCCUUCCCCUUCGGGGGACAAAGUGACAGGUGGUGCAUGGUUGUCGUCAGCUCGUGUCGUGAGAUGUUGGGUUAAGUCCCGCAACGAGCGCAACCCUUAAGCUUAGUUGCCAUCAUUAAGUUGGGCACUCUAAGUUGACUGCCGGUGACAAACCGGAGGAAGGUGGGGAUGACGUCAAAUCAUCAUGCCCCUUAUGAUUUGGGCUACACACGUGCUACAAUGGACAAUACAAAGGGCAGCGAAACCGCGAGGUCAAGCAAAUCCCAUAAAGUUGUUCUCAGUUCGGAUUGUAGUCUGCAACUCGACUACAUGAAGCUGGAAUCGCUAGUAAUCGUAGAUCAGCAUGCUACGGUGAAUACGUUCCCGGGUCUUGUACACACCGCCCGUCACACCACGAGAGUUUGUAACACCCGAAGCCGGUGGAGUAACCUUUUAGGAGCUAGCCGUCGAAGGUGGGACAAAUGAUUGGGGUGAAGUCGUAACAAGGUAGCCGUAUCGGAAGGUGCGGCUGGAUCACCU